This 619-nucleotide long non-coding RNA is filed under the name Equus caballus (horse). RNAcentral describes it as "lncRNA (ENSECAG00000056431.1)". The record is from RNAcentral. Lineage: Eukaryota; Metazoa; Chordata; Mammalia; Perissodactyla; Equidae.
AAUGCCUCUUGGUAUUCAUAUCUCCAUGACUUUGAUUGACAUUUGAAGCAGCAAAUGACUUCUGCCUCACUUCCCCUCUUCUCAAUAUCACACGAGUGCAUCUAGUUAGCAAGAUCUGGUUGGCAUCCAGAAUCCUAUUGAGCGAAGUUCCAGAGGCAGAGUGGACUCCCUGGAGAUCACACAUCAAAAAUGUGGUCUUAAAGACAGACCCGGGGUCACGAAAACGUCCUUUCAAAAAGAAGAUGAGAAGAAGAGAGUGAGAGAGAGACAGAGAAUUCUCCUAUAUUUCUUCUAAAAGUUUUAAAGAUUGAGAUCUUUAAUCUACACGGAAUUGACUUUUGUGUGUGGUGUGAGACUAAAACCAACCUAAGACAACACUUAUGCCAGGACACCUGUACCACAAGGAGCUCAGGUUACACUGGAGAAGGGAAGAACGUAAGAAGUCCUGCCAUGUUCCUCUUGGCUUGAGUGGCCACCUCCUGAGACGCUGCCCUGUGGCAUAUGCUGAUGCAUUACUGGGUCCUUACGCCUGACAGCGCAGUGGUUAUGAGAAAUAUGUAUGGUUUUCCUUUCAUAUGAUGUAGUAGAAUAUUGCCAAUAAAAGGCACUUUUCACCCAC